AUGAAUCAGAUGAAAUAUAGCGAGCUUUCACUUGUGAUUACUGGAACCGUGAAAAAUGGAUAUGGAAUGGUUUUAGAGCUUUUAAAAUUUAGAAUGUCCGAUUAGAAACUUCUGCAAUGCGUAUGGUAGUUUUUCUUUUUCAUAUUUAAUUCUGGAUUUUUUUUUUAAAUAAAAAAUUGAUGAGAUGAAGAAGAUGAAGAUCUUGGAUUAAGGAUGAAGAUGAUGAUUUGUACAUGACACAUCACUACUAAACAACCACAUAAGCAGUUUUUAACAGAGUUUUAUAGGAAAAUGUA
Molecule: long non-coding RNA, 296 nt
Filed under: Medicago truncatula (barrel medic)
Lineage: Eukaryota; Viridiplantae; Streptophyta; Magnoliopsida; Fabales; Fabaceae
Description: lncRNA gene8650
Source: RNAcentral